This 241-nucleotide long non-coding RNA is filed under the name Setaria viridis. RNAcentral's name for it is "long non-coding RNA (SVIR_LNC004682)". Lineage: Eukaryota; Viridiplantae; Streptophyta; Magnoliopsida; Poales; Poaceae. The record is from RNAcentral.
GAUGAUUGCAAUCUUUUCGAACUGGGUGCCUGAGACAACCGCUCCCCCGAAAUUCGUGUAGACGGCACGGUAAAAAUCCCGCCUUUAACCCUUCUCUCGGACCGUCUUUAAAUACUGGCGUCCGUGCUGCUUCUCCUCCACGAGCUCAGUAACUUCCUCCCCGGCGAAUCACUUUCCUUCUCCCAGCACCCUUUUGGCUUCCAAUCAUAUUCUCCGGCGAUCCUCCCUUUGUCUGCAUUCC